UACGUAGGGUGCAAGCGUUGUCCGGAAUUAUUGGGCGUAAAGAGCUUGUAGGCGGUUUGUCGCGUCUGCUGUGAAAUUCCGGGGCUCAACCCCGAACUUGCAGUGGGUACGGGCAGACUAGAGUGUGGUAGGGGAGACUGGAAUUCCUGGUGUAGCGGUGAAAUGCGCAGAUAUCAGGAGGAACACCGAUGGCGAAGGCAGGUCUCUGGGCCAUAACUGACGCUGAGAAGCGAAAGCGUGGGGAGCAAACGGG
This 253-nucleotide ribosomal RNA is filed under the name uncultured bacterium. RNAcentral describes it as "partial 16S ribosomal RNA". It matches the Rfam family "Bacterial small subunit ribosomal RNA", at positions 524 to 776 of the family's 1533-position model. The record is from RNAcentral.